UGAAUUUUGUGUGUCUCUUGUCCGAGUCUUAGCAUUGGGGACGUUCGCCGUUCAAGCACAGACUGCUAAACGCUCAGUGACGGAUUUCAUACGAUUGUGCCGAUUAUUUGUGAUUUUCAUCCAUAAAUUCACCCGUCAUGCCGAUAUAUAAUAUCUGAGCACAGCAGGGCAACACGUCUCAAGCUUUUCAUACUCAAAUGAUACGCGGAAAUGGAUUCCCAUUUCCGGUUUCACAGGAACAGUGUUCCUUUUGGUUAUGAUAACGAUCAGACCCAAUCCAGAUUCAAUCCAAAGACAGACCUGGCUCUACCAACUCGGCUAUUGAUGCUGAUCAAGAAUAUAGUACAUACAUA
This 353-nucleotide small RNA is filed under the name Drosophila pseudoobscura pseudoobscura. RNAcentral's name for it is "GA31493". The record is from RNAcentral. Lineage: Eukaryota; Metazoa; Arthropoda; Insecta; Diptera; Drosophilidae.